AGCGGCGGACGGGUGAGUAACACGUGGGUAACCGGCCCAAGAGACUGGGAUAACACCUGGAAACAGAUGCUAAUACCGGAUAACAACACUAGACGCAUGUCUAGAGUUUGAAAGAUGGUUCUGCUAUCACUCUUGGAUGGACCUGCGGUGCAUUAGCUAGUUGGUAAGGUAACGGCUUACCAAGGCAAUGAUGCAUAGCCGAGUUGAGAGACUGAUCGGCCACAUUGGGACUGAGACACGGCCCAAACUCCUACGGGAGGCAGCAGUAGGGAAUCUUCCACAAUGGACGAAAGUCUGAUGGAGCAACACCGCGUGAGUGAAGAAGGGUUUCGGCUCGUAAAGCUCUGUUGGUAGUGAAGAAAGAUAGAGGUAGUAACUGGCCUUUAUUUGACGGUAAUUACUUAGAGAGUCACGGCUAACUACGUGCCAGCAGCCGCGGUAAUACGUAGGUGGCAAGCGUUGUCCGGAUUUAUUGGGCGUAAAGCGAGUGCAGGCGGUUCAAUAAGUCUGAUGUGAAAGCCUUCGGCUCAACCGGAGAAUUGCAUCAGAAACUGUUGAACUUGAGUGCAGAAGAGGAGAGUGGAACUCCAUGUGUAGCGGUGGAACGCGUAGAUAUAUGGAAGAACACCAGUGGCGAAGGCGGCUCUCUGGUCUGCGACUGACGCUGAGGCUCGAAAGCAUGGGUAGCGAACAGGAUUAGAUACCCUGGUAGUCCAUGCCGUAAACGAUGAGUGCUAAGUGU
This 742-nucleotide ribosomal RNA is filed under the name uncultured bacterium. RNAcentral's name for it is "bacterial SSU rRNA". It matches the Rfam family "Bacterial small subunit ribosomal RNA", at positions 94 to 823 of the family's 1533-position model. The record is from RNAcentral.